RNAcentral lists this transfer RNA (72 nucleotides) under Microbacterium phage Zooman. RNAcentral's name for it is "tRNA-Gly". It matches the Rfam family "tRNA". Rfam says of the family: Transfer RNA (tRNA) molecules are approximately 80 nucleotides in length. Their secondary structure includes four short double-helical elements and three loops (D, anti-codon, and T loops). Further hydrogen bonds mediate the characteristic L-shaped molecular structure. tRNAs have two regions of fundamental functional importance: the anti-codon, which is responsible for specific mRNA codon recognition, and the 3' end, to which the tRNAs corresponding amino acid is attached (by aminoacyl-tRNA synthetases). tRNAs cope with the degeneracy of the genetic code in two manners: having more than one tRNA (with a specific anti-codon) for a particular amino acid; and 'wobble' base-pairing, i.e. permitting non-standard base-pairing at the 3rd anti-codon position. Lineage: Duplodnaviria; Heunggongvirae; Uroviricota; Caudoviricetes. The record is from RNAcentral. RNAcentral also lists the same sequence under 1 other name.
GCGAAUAUGAUGUAGUGGUAGCCUAUCACCUUGCCAUGGUGAUCGUGCGGGUUCGAUUCCCGCUAUUCGCUC